RNAcentral lists this ribosomal RNA (491 nucleotides) under uncultured bacterium. RNAcentral describes it as "partial 16S ribosomal RNA". It matches the Rfam family "Bacterial small subunit ribosomal RNA", at positions 28 to 506 of the family's 1533-position model. The record is from RNAcentral.
AUUGAACGCUGGCGGCAUGCUUUACACAUGCAAGUCGAACGGUAACAGGCCUUCGGGUGCUGACGAGUGGCGGACGGGGGAGUAAUGCAACGGAACGUACCCCGAGGUGGGGGAUAACGCAGCGAAAGCUGUGCUAAUACCGCAUGUGAGCUGAGGAUGAAAGCGGGGGACCGCGCAGCAAUGUUUGGCCUCGCGCCUUUGGAGCGGCCGAUCUCGGUUUGGCUGGUUGGGGGGGUAAAGGCCACCCAAGGCAACGAUCCGUAGCUGGUCUGAGAGGACGGCCAGCCCCACUGGGCCUGGGCCACGGCCCAGCCUCCUACGGGGGGCAGCAGUGGGGAUUUUUCGACAAUGGGCGCAAGCCUGCGCCAGCAAUGCCGCGGGCGGGAAGAAGGCCUUCGGGUUGUAAACCGCUUUUGGCAGGAACGAAACGGUGGCCGCUAAUACCGGGCGCUAAUGACGGUACCUGCAGAAUAAGCACCGGCUACCUCCGU